Molecule: non-coding RNA, 66 nt
Filed under: Stenotrophomonas maltophilia D457
Lineage: Bacteria; Pseudomonadati; Pseudomonadota; Gammaproteobacteria; Lysobacterales; Lysobacteraceae
Description: Glycine riboswitch (Rfam family RF00504)
Rfam family: Glycine riboswitch aptamer
About the family: This family represents the bacterial glycine riboswitch. Glycine riboswitches usually consist of two metabolite-binding aptamers domains with similar structures in tandem.
Source: RNAcentral
GGUGGGAGAAGCGGAACACCGCUGCCGAAGGCGCAACGCCCGUAAUCGCUCAGGCCCGAUACCACC